GGUUAGAAGUCCAGGAGCUGUAUCAAACUGGCCAAGUAUGUUGGACUCUGAAGCAUUUUAGGCUCGGAGCAUUUAGCAGGCCCAACUUAGCCCCCGUUAGAGAUACUCACUCAGCUUCAGCCAGAUGCCAAGCAACCUUCUGUUUAUUCCACUGUGGUUAAGUCAGAGUCAUGAGGGCAACACAGACAGUGAAGAGCAGGAGCUGGGGAUGUGUUCAGCAGUGCAACCUAACUGACAACAUGGCCGGAGAAGGAACAUCACUCAAGGCAUCCAGGGUCAAUCAUUACACUGGCAACCAUGAGAUGAGCAGCAUGCUCUGCUAUGUGGCCCCACCACAAUGUCCAAUCAACUAUGGAAUGCAACUUCCAAAACUGGAAUCCAAAAUACAUCUUUCUUCCUUUUAAUUUUAUUAUCUCAGGGUUUUGCUAUAGUAAUACAAUGUUUAUUAACACAGGGUAGCAACAGUUAUUGUGAAACUACCAAGUUAUUAUAAACUAUACCAGAUAUCUUAUCAUUGUUAUCUACUUUUAUUCUCCCCAAACCAAAGGCCCCUUGGAUAGAAAGUGGUAGGGU
Heterocephalus glaber (naked mole-rat) is the source of this 573-nucleotide long non-coding RNA. NCBI's taxonomy places the organism in Eukaryota, Metazoa, Chordata, Mammalia, Rodentia, Bathyergidae. The record is from Ensembl.